This 102-nucleotide non-coding RNA is filed under the name Bacillus thermotolerans. RNAcentral's name for it is "Quasibacillus thermotolerans Purine riboswitch aptamer". It matches the Rfam family "Purine riboswitch aptamer". Rfam says of the family: Riboswitches are metabolite binding domains within certain messenger RNAs that serve as precision sensors for their corresponding targets. RNAcentral also lists the same sequence under 1 other name. The record is from Rfam by way of RNAcentral. Lineage: Bacteria; Bacillati; Bacillota; Bacilli; Caryophanales; Bacillaceae.
AAUUGAAAAGAGAUUCACCUUUGUAUAUGUCCAAGAAUAAGGCUUGGACGUUUCUACCAGGCUGCCGUAAAUAGCUUGACUACAGAGUGUGUGGACUUUCUG